UUCUCAUACGAUCACCAAUGUUAAGUAACAUUGAGCCUGGUCAGUACCUAGAUGAGUGACCUCUUGGGAAUACCAGGUGCUGUAAG
This is a non-coding RNA of Acanthosepion pharaonis, 86 nucleotides long. The record is from the annotation of a GenBank genome assembly. NCBI's taxonomy places the organism in Eukaryota, Metazoa, Mollusca, Cephalopoda, Sepiida, Sepiidae.